UACGAAGGGGCGUAGCGUUGUUCGGAAUUACUGGGCGUAAGACGCGCGUAGGUGGUUUGUUAAGUUGGAUGUGAAAUCCCCGGGCUCAACCUGGGAACUGCAUUCAAAACUAGACAAGCUAGAGUAUGGUAGAGGGUGGUGGAAUUUCCUGUGUAGCGGUGAAAUGCGUAGAUAUAGGAAGGAACACCAGUGGCGAAGGCGACCACCUGGACUGAUACUGACACUGAGGUGCGAAAGCGUGGGGAGCAAACAGGAUUAGAUACCCCGAGUAGU
RNAcentral lists this ribosomal RNA (273 nucleotides) under uncultured bacterium. RNAcentral describes it as "partial 16S ribosomal RNA". It matches the Rfam family "Bacterial small subunit ribosomal RNA", at positions 524 to 794 of the family's 1533-position model. The record is from RNAcentral.